AUCGAUUUGUGGGAUACUGACAA
Molecule: small nuclear RNA, 23 nt
Filed under: Arabidopsis thaliana (thale cress)
Lineage: Eukaryota; Viridiplantae; Streptophyta; Magnoliopsida; Brassicales; Brassicaceae
Description: snRNA_10342
Source: RNAcentral